GUGGGGAAUAUUGGGCAAUGGGCGAAAGCCUGACCCAGCCACGCCGCGUGAGUGAUGAAGGCCUUCGGGUUGUAAAGCUCUGUGGGGAGGGAAGAAAAAGCGCAGGAGUAACUGCCUGUGUGUUGACGGUACCUCCUUAGCAAGCACCGGCUAACUCUGUGCCAGCAGCCGCGGUAAUACAGAGGGUGCAAACGUUGCUCGGAAUUACUGGGCGUAAAGCGCGUGUAGGCUGACAUGCAAGUCGGGUGUGAAAUCCCAGGGCUCAACCUUGGAACUGCACUCGAAACUGCACGUCUUGAGUACUGGAGAGGGAAGCGGAAUUCCGGGUGUAGAGGUGAAAUUCGUAGAUAUCCGGAGGAACACCAGUGGCGAAGGCGGCUUCCUGGACAGUAACUGACGCUGAGACGCGAAAGCGUGGGGAGCAAACAGGAUUAGAAACCCUAGUAGUCC
Molecule: ribosomal RNA, 450 nt
Filed under: uncultured bacterium
Lineage: Bacteria
Description: partial 16S ribosomal RNA
Rfam family: Bacterial small subunit ribosomal RNA
Source: RNAcentral